GCAGGAUGAGGCAGAUCAUGCCUAUUAUUCCAGGUUCUGGGAGGCUGGGAUACCUAGAACUAUGAAUUCCGAGCUGCAGUGGGCUAUGCUAAUCACAUGUCUAUACUAAAUUCAGCAUCAGUAUGGUGAGUCCCUCCAGGAGUGGGGAGUCAGCAGACUAUGUAAGGAGGGGUGAACUGGCCAGGUUGGAAACAAAGCUGGUCAAAGUUUCUGUGCUGAUAAGUAGUGGAACUGGGCCCCUGAUUAACUCAUGCACUACCAGCACUCUUUCCACUGCAUCUACU
RNAcentral lists this signal recognition particle RNA (284 nucleotides) under Vombatus ursinus (common wombat). Its description in RNAcentral is "Metazoan signal recognition particle RNA (ENSVURG00010013739.1)". It matches the Rfam family "Metazoan signal recognition particle RNA". Rfam says of the family: The signal recognition particle (SRP) is a universally conserved ribonucleoprotein. It is involved in the co-translational targeting of proteins to membranes. The record is from Rfam by way of RNAcentral. Lineage: Eukaryota; Metazoa; Chordata; Mammalia; Diprotodontia; Vombatidae.